Molecule: long non-coding RNA, 985 nt
Filed under: Trifolium pratense (red clover)
Lineage: Eukaryota; Viridiplantae; Streptophyta; Magnoliopsida; Fabales; Fabaceae
Description: long non-coding RNA (TPRA_LNC007879)
Source: RNAcentral
AGCGUUGAACAAAGGCUUGCUGGAGAAUUGGAGAAGGGUAUGUCAUAGGAAAUACUGAUUCGCGAGGAGAAAUAAGUAAAGGGAAAAAGAAACGGAAAUGCUACUUAUAAAGGGGUAACCUUUUCGUCUGAUUGAAGUCCAGAAGUUGAAGCAGGUAGUAUCGCACGCGUCGUCGGAUUAUAUACGUGUCAAAAGCGUGUAUCUCGAGAGUAAAUUUUGGAAGAUUUAUCGUCAAAUAGUUAUUGUCCUAAAGGCGAAGUUGGAGUCGCCAAACUACUACCUCGAAGUACACAACGCCUCUGAAAUGACCACGCCAAAAAUACGAACCUCGCCUUUUUAAGGCGUAACAAAAAGUUAAAAGGGAAACGCCCAAGAAGAAAAGAUUCAAGAUUAAGGGGAAAGUAAAACUCGGAAACAAUAAAUUCAGUCCUAGACUGAAAUAGAAAUCUUUAUUAAUUUCGAAAAGUAAAGUACAACAAUGGAAAGCAAAGUUACAAAGGAAGAUGAAAAGGCUAAUCCUAGAUCCUAUCAAUCGGAUUCUGAAUCCUUCUGUGCAGGCUCAGGAGUUGUCAUCUUGGAUUCCACGGUAAUCCGGGAUCCAUCUUCUUCACCCGAUGAAGAAGCACGAGAAGAAAACUCGGGAGGAACGUAUGUCUCCAGAAACGAAGCAUAAUCCCUAUCAGUGCUAUCAGAAUCAGAGGUAUCAGAAGAAAGAAUGAUGACCUCCACUUCUUUGACCUCUUUAGACCUUCGGGAGCGAGUAGAGUUAGAGGUGGUUACCUCCACCCUUUUCUUCCUUCGCUGAGGUUGAGACUUCUCAGCAAUGGGUGCUUUGGUAUUUUUCCUUUCCAUCGUAAGGAUUCAGAACAAGUUGAUAAGAAUAUGAGUUGAGCAGUUGAUAUUUAUAGCCAAUUAUGCUUAACCCUAGCAUCGUUAUUAAUGGUCGUAAUUAAUGCUUGGACGGCCUUAACCACUUUGGUUUGAC